CGCACAUUGCGCCCUUUGGUAUUCCUUAGGGCAUGCCUGUUCGAGCGUCAUUUAUAAUCUCAAGCUCUGCUUGGUGUUGGGCGCCUGUCCCGCCUUCGCGCGCGGACUCGCCCCAAAGGUAUUGGCAGCGGUCGUGCCAGCUUCUCACGCAGCAUACGCGCUUCGGAGGCAAGUCGAUCAGCGUCCACAAGCACUUUCUACCAGUUUGACCUCGGAUCAGGUAGGGAUACCCGCUGAACUUAA
RNAcentral lists this unclassified non-coding RNA (243 nucleotides) under Palmiascoma gregariascomum. Its description in RNAcentral is "partial contains 5.8S ribosomal RNA, internal transcribed spacer 2, and large subunit ribosomal RNA". Lineage: Eukaryota; Fungi; Ascomycota; Dothideomycetes; Pleosporales; Bambusicolaceae. The record is from RNAcentral.